Solenopsis invicta (red fire ant) is the source of this 8972-nucleotide long non-coding RNA. RefSeq lists it as uncharacterized. The record is from RefSeq and is a predicted model, not a curated record. Lineage: Eukaryota; Metazoa; Arthropoda; Insecta; Hymenoptera; Formicidae. The transcript is spliced from 3 exons.
GAAAAAUGUUGAUUAAAACCAAAGUUAUAACGUCUCAAAAUUAAAAAAGUCUCCCAAACCCGAAAAUGUGUUUACAUAUUUUAGGAGAUCGGUGUGUUCAAGGGUUAAUAAAUAAUGCUAACAAGUUUCUAAAUGUAACAAUCUUUUCUCCUCUAAAAAAAUGUAAAGAAUUUAUUAUAAAAAAAUAACACCUCAACCAGGGAUUGAACUUCGGAUCUAGCUAUGACCAGUUUAUUGUGUUUUUACAUUUUGGUCAAAGUUCUCUAUUUAUAAUCACAUUGUUUUAUUUUAUUGGUUUUAAUGUUGAACUAAACUAAAUAAGCGUCACAUCCCACACAGCGCAGAUUUCCUAAAGACGUCCACUGAACGUAUGAACGUCCAAUGGACGUUUUUAGGAGAUCUGUGCUGUGUGAGAUUAUUGCUUAAAAAAAUAUUUUUUUUUAAUUCUCUCAUUUUUAUAUUAAUAUUCUUUAUUGUGUUCUAUAAAAUUUAUUCUGUAAGAAAUAUUCUAUAUUCAGUAAUAAAUCCUUAUAAAUAAAUAAUUUCUUAUUCAGUAGUAAAUAUUUUAUAGUAAUAUUUUAAAAUAAAUUUUAUAGGUGUUCAAUCACUUCAAACUAAUAAUACUAAAAUAAUUGAAAUCAAAUUGUACAUGCACACAUAGCUUUAUAAGAAGCAUAGAUCAUUUGAGUGAUUUAUUGAAAGAAUGUGGAAAGGAUAGUGAUUUGGAAAAACUGAAGCUGCAUAGAACAAAAACUUCCAAAUUAAUACUGAAAGUCAUAUCUCUGGCAAUAUUAAAAGAAAUUAUUGAAGGUAUUGGAAAUGAGCCUUUUUCAAUAAUAUUAGAUGAGUCUACUGAUGUAUCCGAUUUUAAAUAUAUGGCAUAUUGUGUUUAAUUAUUUUAAUAAAAGACAGAAUACAUUCGCAGUAGAUUUUCUUGGUUUCAGCAAAAUAUUUGAAGCCACUGCCGAGAAACUUUACAAACAUUUCAUAGAAUUUAUGUCUGAAGUAGGACUAAACCACAAAAAAUUUGGUUGGCGUGGGAACGGAUGGUGUGAGCAUUCUUUGCGGGAAGAAUCAUAGCUUAUACGUUAUUAAAAAAUAAGAUUCCACAUUUACAAUUGAUACAAUGCAUUUACCACUCGCUAAAUCUAUGUGCUUCCAACGUAAGUGACGAAUUACCAUGUACAGUUGAGUAUUUAUUACAAAAGACGAGAAAAUAGUUCUCUCACAGUCCUCUUCGUCAAAUGAGGUACAGCAAGAUAUAUCAAUUGAUUAAUGCUGGAAAACAGCCACCUAAAUUGAUUCAGUUAUCCUCGACGGGUUGGCUUGCAUAGAAUAUUUCUACAAAUAUUAAACAAUGGCAAAAGCUGAAACAACACUUUCAAUUAACUACAAAAUCCCAAGAUGAUAAAUGUUAUACAGCAACACAGAACGCUUGUACAAAUGUACGAAGAUGAUAGUAAUUUACUAUACUUGCUUUUUUUAGAUAGAAUUUUAAAAGACUACUAAUGUAAAUCUUGCAUUUCAACAAACAAAUGCUGAUAUCACAAAAUUGUAUACCGAUUUAUACAUGCUAUUAAUGUUAUUGGUAAAGAGAAUCAUAAAAUCUUAUUUAAAACAUAGUGAAAUGGCUUUUUAUUCUAUGCUGUAUCAAGCAGACAUAGAAAAUAUACAGAGCGCACUAAAAAAGGUGCAUCAAAAUUUUAAAAAUUCUCUUCUUUCCCUCAAAUUGGUAGACUUCGGAUAUCGAUUUGAAUCGUAUGCUACAAAGAAGACUAUUUCACAAACGUCUUUAAAACUUGUUCGAGAAAGAUGUGUAGCUUACACGAUUCGCCUUUGCAACAAACUUAUAAUAAGAUUACCACGCAAUCUUCCAACAGUAGAAAGUUAUCUGGCACCCGGAAUGUGUCUAAGCCAAAUAAAUACAUACAAAAAUUUACCAUGGGAGUUAGCAGGUAUAUUUUGUUUAUGGUGUUGAUACAAUUAUGAUUAUUAUAAUGAUUAUGCAUCUAUAAAUCAAGUCUAUAUAUAUUGUUAAAUAUUAUUUUUUAGGAAAAGAUCUUGAUCGAGAUGCCAUCAAGUCUCAAUUUCGUCGAUUGCAGACUAAGAAUCCACAAAAUUUCUCCAAAUUUUAAUAAUGUUGAAAUAGGAAAUAUUAAAAUGGUAGAUUUUUAGGUAGCUGUUAGAAAAAUGACUAACUCAAAUGACGUAAAAUGUUUUGAGGACUUGGCAGAACUUGCUUUUCGUGCUUUCUUUGCUGAUCAGCAAUGCAAUCGUAGAAUGUGUUUUCAGCAUAAUAGCAGUGAUUAAAACAAAAUGAAGAAAUCGUUUGUCGAUGCCUAUGCUGGUUAGUUUUAUGUGCAUUCGCUUAUACAUGAAUUUCUUAAUCUGUGCUGUAAAAGUUACUGCCCAACACCAUAUAUGUUACAAUUAUUUAACAGCAACAUGUACAUAGUAGACAUAUAAACAAACAGAAUCUUCCAACAAUUCUGAUGAUUGGGAUCUUUUAGAGUCAUUAAAUCUUAUCAAAUCAGCAGAAUCAACAAUUGAUUCAUAAAAAGCAGUGAUGAGUAAAAUUUUUUCACCCAAGGAAUGGAGAACUUAACAUAAUAUCAAUUUGAUCUUUCUGUUUUUCGGGUGUAAGUAUUUCCGUGUAUUUUAUAUUAUAUUUGUAAUAAUACAUUUUAUAUAAAAUUAUUAGGAAAAAUGUUCUAGUGAUGGUACAUACAACUGAACACAUAUUUUAAAUGUUAAAUUUUUUAUAAUUCUCUCAUUUUUCUCUCUUAUGGUAAUUUUCUCUCAUACGGAGACAAGUAUUUUCUGUUUUAAAUCUCAAAUCUAAUUAUUAGUAACGCUCGACUACUAAUUAUUAUUCGCUCAACAGCACUAGCUAUUGCUAGCACCAACAGUUAAGAGUAUUUAAAAAAAACUGUUAAAGUAAUAUAAAUCUAAAAUAAUAAGUUUUUUUUUUAAUAUAAUUCUUAAGCAAGAUGUUUAUUCAAAUUUCGUACAAAAAUUUCCAAUUUUCCAGGAAUUUUAUUUCCAGAUAAGACUAGAAAAUUUUUUGUCUUCAAAUUUAUUAGAAACUUGUGUUGGUUACUUUUCAAGCGUUUACAUUUCAAAAUCGGCUUCUUUAGGCUACUUGAGCGCCAUCGUUCGGCGACUUUUCAUAAUAAAUAUCUGGCAACACUGUACAUGAUACGGACCAUUUAAAGUUUAGUCAAUAUGUUACAUUUAGGAAAGAUAGACUAGUAAAUUCCCAGAGGAAAGGAAAUUAUAUGCAAGGGUUAUCUUAACCUUAAUGUAUAUAAUAUUUCAGACAUAACAAACCAUAUGGAUAUAGAAACUGUAUUUCCACCAAAAAUUGUAAAGUAAAGAAAGAUAGGAUAACUUUAAUAUCGUUAUAUAAACCACUGAAUAUACUGGCAAACAAGCAAAUGUGAGACCUGCGUGUACUAAACGACGGCUUGGCUACAAGAGUGUCCAUUAAAAUAUUCAUAUUAGAUCAUAAACUAGCAUCCGAUAUCAAUAAGCAUCACAUUAGUGUUCCUGACAUCACUUUGACAAAUAUAAAUGAUAUCCUCACAUUAUGGAAUACUAGCAUCAAGUGAAUGAACAGUGAUCACUUUCCUAUUAAAAUCAAAUUAAUAAAUAAUGGAAAAAUUAAAGACUAUCAAUUUACAAAAGCAAAAAAUAGAAGGGGAAGCAUAAACCUAAAGAACUUCAUCCUGUCUGCCUUCUGUAGUAUAUGGAAUGAAAAGUUAGAGGAACUAGAUACGAAUCUUUCUGACUUGAAUGGAACAGAGUUAUAUAAAUGAUGAUAUAGAAAUAUAAUGAAUUGUGUGGUUCUUGCCGGUGACGGAAUACGUGAUAGAACGGGUAAAAUAAAAAUAAGAGAUGAUAAGACUAAUAGUAUUAAAAUAAUUGACAAAAAAAAGUACUCAAACAAGGAUAGGUAGAAUGAUGAGGGAAGAAGCAUUAACAAGCCAUGGUGGGAUGAAUUGUAUGAAAAAGCAGUGCAAAAUAGAAAGAAAAGUUUUAAGAAUUUCCUAAAAGAUCCAACAAGAGAAAAAUUAACUAUCUAUAGAGGAAUUUCCACGGAAACAAGAAAAAUUAUUACCAGUAGAAAAAGGGAAAAUUUUCAUAACCUCAUUGACAAAAUUGCUAGAGUGCCUGGCUCCAGAAAAUUCUGGAAUACCAUAAAAAAAUUUUUAAAUUGUUCAACCUAUAAACCAAGAACUCCUUCAGAUACAAGAAAAAUUGUUAGAUGAUUAUUAUAUCGCUAAAUUAGCGAACUAUUGGGUUCUGCCAAUGACACGUCUAAUGGCAAGAGACUAUCAAGAAUUUUUGAGCAAAAUUUUACCAUUAAAGAAAUAUCAGAGUUUAUCAACCAAAGUAAAAUUAAUGGUAGCCCGGGUAACGAUUUGUUGAGCUAUGGACUUCUUCGUUACCUUCCCGUGUCUGCUUUGGAAUUGCUUAAUGAAAGUUAUAAUGAAAAGAUCAUAGACGGUUCAUUCCCUGAACAAUGGAAAAAAUACUUGAUAGUAUUGAUACCGAAGAAUGAAAGGAUAGACUUUAGAUCCGUCUCAUUGGAAUCAUGCACUCUAAAAAUUUUCAAGAAACUAGAAAAAAUCAGACUGGAAAGAUUCGUGAAAUUAGAUGCUAUAAUACUCAAGUGCCAAUUCGGUUUCCGUAAAAGCAAAUCGUGCAAUAACUACCUUGUUAAUGAAUCUUGAAAUAUAUAAAGCUUUUUCAGAGGGUAAAAUCACAGGAGGCCUAUUUCUAGACAUUAAGGUUAUUUAUGACAACAUUGAGGUUAAAAUGCUAUUUGAUAUGAUUAACGGGUUAAGAAUUUCAAUUGGUUAUAAGUUUAUGAAGAAUUUUUUGGAACCAAGAAAAGCUACAAUCUUUGAAAAUGACAAUUAUCAGGGCACUAGAAUAAUCCAAAAAGGUGUCCUAUAAGGGUCGGUUCUAAGCCCAUUGUUGUUCAAUAUUUAUGUAGCAAACAUACUUUCGCACAAUUGCAAAAUUAUCCAAUUUGUGUAUGACAUUGCUGUUCUAGGUAUGAACAGAGAUAUAGCAGUGGAAUAUAACAUCUUACAAAAAGCUUUAUCAAAAAAAAAUAAAUAAAUGGUUGAUAGUCUUAAACCUUGAAAUAUCAAUACUGAAAACAAAUUUGUUUUUUUCCACAGAAAAAAAAGAUUAACGUUUCCAACGGUUUGCAGGUGGAAAAAGGCAAUAUUAUAGUAUCAAAUAAGAUAAAAUAUCUGAGUGUUAUCUUUGACUCUGAAUUGAGAUGGAGAGAAUAUCUAACAUCAUUAAAAAACAAAACUUAUUAUUUUAUAAAUAUUCUUAAAUAGAUUAAGAAGUUGGGGAGGGGGGGGGGUUAGUAUACAAGUUGGAAUAGAUUUCGUAAAUGGCACCGUCAGGGCACAAAUAUGCUGGGGAGCCAAUUAAUUCAACAGUUCUGCAAAGUCGUAUCUGGGACUGAUUGAUAAGAUUUUAGCAUCUGCUUACAAAAUAAUUUUGGGACUUCUGAAAUUUAUAUCUAAUAAAGUGAGUUGGCUGUUGUAGACCAUCCGCAAGAUUAGUAUCAUUAUCCUGUAUAAACUUAUGUUAAAAACCUUCCAACUAAAAAACAUAAAAUUAAUUAAUAAAAUCAGAAGUAUGCAUGAAUCAAGUUAUAAAAAGAAGACCGCUGCCCAGAAUAUAUCAUUUUUAAUUGAGCGAUGGAAGAAAGUUAUGUCCAGCCAGAAAUAAUAAUGAAAUCGACGUUAAUUCAACAUCAAAAUCAUCAAAUCGUCAUUCAAUCAACGUCGAUUCAAUGUCGAAAUCAUCGAAUCGACGUCGAUUCUAUUGUCAUUUCUGACUGGGAAUGCUUCUUCCCCCAUCUGUAUAAGUAGAUGUCCACCCCGUUUUUGUUUAUCCAGUGAACGAGGGUGGAGUUAAGAUAGAUUUUGGUUACAGAGCUGGAGGCGUAUGCUAAAGCAUCAAGUAACUAUAUGAAUAAGACAUUCAAUAGUAAAAAAUCUCACUUAAAAAAUUAAAUGCGAAUAAGAUAGCUAUCUACACGGAUGUAUCACGAGCAAAUGACGCUUCCAGGGGUCAAAACCUUGGAGACAAUAAAGCGGAUUCAGCAUGAAAGGUUGGCUGCGCAAUUUAUAUUUCCUCUAUUAACCAAGGAUAUACAUAUAAACUGAAUACACAUUCUCGUUCACGGCAGAAAUUACAGCUAUAGAAAAAUCAUUAGCUUAGGAUGGAAAUCUGUUAAUAUAUGUACAGACUCCAAAAACUCUAUGAAAACUCUGGAAUCCUGUAAGAGAGGGUAUGAUUCUCUUAGCCAUUCUGUUAAAAAUCUUUGUAAUUUAUUAAUCGGUUAUAUUUUAAAAGAAAGAAUUAAAAUUAGAUUCAUCUCGUGUUCCGCUCAUUAGGGUCACAAGGUGACAAAAAAGCAGAUAGACUAGCCAAAGAGGGUGCUUUAAGGGUAUGCGGCUGAUUAAUAAAAUUUUAUAUAAAAAAUGUAUCAAAUGCCUUAGAUAUAAUUAUUUAAAAAUAGAUUCUAACACAUUUUAACGAUAUAAGCCCUAACACAGGUAAAUAUUUCAUUAGUAACUUUAGCAAUUUCAGUAUUAAAAAUUUUAAUAAAUACAAAUGUAACAAACGUAUACUAGGAGUGUAUCUAAGAAUUAUCUCAGGUAACGCCUUUAGGAUGCAUCCCGACGAAGGAAGAAAUAGCGGAACGGAACAGUUACGGAAAAGAGAUAUGGUGAGAGAUCAGCCAAUCAGAGCAAUUCCAUUUCUGUUCUGCUCUGCUUUUUGAUGAGUGGAUUCCCCACAAGUGAAUGUUUCACGUAUUGAAACUAAAACGAAAAAAAUAACCUUAUUUUUCUGUAAAAUUCUCAUAAACAACACGUGUGCCAAGUGAGACAAAUUGAAAAAAAAAAAGUUCUUUACGACCUGUCAAUCGUAUCAUCCAGUGUUUUACGUUCAAGAAGCACGUCGUCGUUAUCAAGUAAUAAUAUAUAAAUAUAUAACAUAUGUUAAAAAUGCUGUCUCACAUGUGUACAUUUUCACGUAAAUUUAAUAAAAUUAUAUUUUAUUAACUAGGAGAAAUUUCGAUGUGAUUACUAUGGCUAGAUUAUUUGGCGUGACAAAAAUGAAACAAUAUCUCACAGUUGCUUUGCAAACUAUAAUCGCCUAAUAAUAGAUAACAGUAGAAACCUCUUUAUGGAUGACACAUUUGCAUAAGACAGAAACACUGCCAUUGAAAAAAAUAUUGCUAAUAAAGAAAAUAUUGCCAAAAAUGUUGAAAGCAUUGCCCACGAUUCAAUAGAAAAGGUAGAUGAAGAUUUAAUAGCUACGGUAAAAGAGAGACCAGCUCUGUAUGAUUAUUGAAUACCAAUAAAAGAACAAGGAAGAAAACAAAAAAAUCAUUUGUAGCAAGAAGUCAGCGACUGUUUAAAAGAAGUAUAUCACGUCUGUUUUCUUCAUCUUCCUCAGCUUCAUAUAAUUAUGAUAAAAACUCAAUUUCCAAUUUUGGACGUGAUUGAUAAGACAGCCUACGUAAUCUUGCCAACUGCGAUACAAAUCCGUCAAUAGGAUUUGGCUCAAAAGUUUUUGUCAAAGAAUUAAGAAGAGCUUCUUCGUAGCCGUCUACAUUAACUCUUUUUCUCUCUGCAAAACAAACAAGUAUAAAAAUCAAUCAUGCAUUCGCAAACAUAAAUAUGCAACUUGAAUAAUAAAAUUCUUACUUUUUGAUUGAUUUAUUUUUGAAAGUUGUGUAUUUAAUAUAUAUAUAUUAAUGUGUAAUACAAUAAUAUAAAUAUAUAAAACAUACUUAUAUAAUAUUACUUACCACAUUGACGACAAGCUCCUUAAACAUAAAAAGCUGCUGAUACGAUCGACAGAUCGUAGAGAACUCUUUUUUUUUUUUUAAUUUGUGUCUUACUUGGAACACGCAUUAUCUUCAAGAACUUUACAAAAAAAUAAGGUUAAUUUUUCCGUUUUAGUUCCGUUACGUGAAACAUUCACUAGUGGGGAACCCACUCGUCAAAAAGCGGAACGGAACAGAAACAAAAUUACUCUGAUUGGCUAAUCUAUCAUAUCUACUUUCUGUAACUGUUCAAUUCCGCUAUUUCUUCCUCGGGAUGCACCCUCACUAAUAAAAAAUAAAUAAAAAAAACAAGAUAUCGAUCAUGUAACUUUUUCCCUAGAGCAAAAAAGUGAAAAAUCAAAAAUUUCACCAUUAACUUCAAUGGCAAAAAAUCUCACUUUUCACUUUUCUGCUCUAGGAAAAAAGUUACAUAAUCAAUACCUAGGUCUAAUAAACUCUGCUAAAUGUAGCUGUGAUUACUUGUGUCAAGAUAUCAAUCACAUCUUCUGGGCUUGUCUUUUAUUGGUGAAUAAUAGAAAGAAAUUAAUAAACGAUUUAAGAAAACUUCAGGAUCCAUUAUCGGUGGAAUAUACAAUAUUUUUAAUAACCUCAACUCCAAAGUCAUAAGAAUACUGAAAAAAUUGGUAUCUGAAGUUACAAAAAAUAUUUCAAAUAUAAGUAGUUAGAUUGACUCAAGUAGGCAGUGAUAAAACAAAAUAAGUAAAACCAUCUAACUAUAAUAUAAGGAUGAAUAAUAUUAUUGCUAAGUGCUUCUUGGAAGCUUGCGUAUAUUCCCAGAUUCCUAUGGGCAGGAGCGUGGGCAUGCUAAGGAUCAAGUUAAGAAAGAAUACAAUGUGAAUAGAGGAAACAGUAAUGGGAACAUACCCGAUAUAAGAAAUACAUAACCAGGUCAAUGACCAAAGUCCUGGUUGGCUAGAGCAUACUACUAUUGAGCAUGGUACUAUUGUUUUCAAGGAAAACAGAUAUCCAUAGGAAAAGAAAAAAAAGAAAAACAACAACAACAAAGUAUUGUACGGCCGUGCGCAUUUCAGUAAUAUUAUAAGUUCCAAUAUUACCAAUCAAAAUAAUAUAAAAAAAU